GGUUUUAUAGUGUAAUUGGUUAGCACCCA
RNAcentral lists this unclassified non-coding RNA (29 nucleotides) under Dictyostelium discoideum. The record is from RNAcentral. Lineage: Eukaryota; Evosea; Eumycetozoa; Dictyosteliales; Dictyosteliaceae.